This is a long non-coding RNA of Hevea brasiliensis (rubber tree), 694 nucleotides long. RefSeq lists it as uncharacterized. Lineage: Eukaryota; Viridiplantae; Streptophyta; Magnoliopsida; Malpighiales; Euphorbiaceae. The record is from RefSeq and is a predicted model, not a curated record. The transcript is spliced from 2 exons.
AUGCUGGGGUAAUGUUUUCCUUUGUGAUUUAUUUAUAUGUUAGUCAUGAGAAGAGAAAAAGGGAAGGCUAUAGAUUGACUCAAUGCAUUUAUGUUGUAUAGAUAUUCAAAUCCCAAAAGCAAAAGUGAAGAUCAAUUUUCUUUUCACUGAAAUUCAUCCGUAACAAUCCAUGUUAUUGCCAAAUAUGUGAUCAGGAAAUUUCAGCUUCUUGGGAACAAAUGGAACUAUGGAAGAAUCAUCUUCCCUUCUUCCCUGAACCAUAAUUCCUUAUAUAGCUGCUUCCUUUCGGAUAACUGGUAGAAAGUGCGCUCAGGACUUCUGCAGAUUUGGGUUGGAUUUACUGAAGAUGAUAACAAAAGGAAAUGCUUCCACUCACUUAAUAUCAUCAAAGGGACAUUUGUAGGUUGACUUAAUUGAGGAUCAGUUAUAGCCAUUUUGAAAUGAAGCAAGGAGUUUUUCCAAUGAUCCUGGCUGAACUGAUUGCAAGAUUCUAAUCUCAAAAGAGAGUAAUGAAUCCUUGUCAAUGCUGUUACGAAAGAGUAAACUUGCUGUUCUUUCUUUUUGAGGGACUGAUUCUUGGAUGACAUUUUGGAGCUUCCUGUUUGGACAAGUUUCAGUGGAAUAAAUGUUGCCAUUGUUGUAUUUCUAAUUACACUUCUUGCUAACAGUUUGAAGCGUUAUUUUCUUCAAGAUA